Molecule: long non-coding RNA, 497 nt
Organism: Salvelinus fontinalis (brook trout)
Lineage: Eukaryota; Metazoa; Chordata; Actinopteri; Salmoniformes; Salmonidae
Exons: 3
Source: RefSeq, a predicted model, not a curated record
UUGAGUGUUGUGUUGACAGUUGAAACCAGUGAGGGUGAACAGCCCUGAUUCCGUGUUGUGGCCAACCGGCAAGGUGCACAGAAGGCCAAAGCCUUCUACUUCAGUGCAGACCCCUCAGAUCCACAAAAGGCCUCCAAUCAUUGUGAGCUAUGGGCAGGACCAAACAUCUGGGGAUGGAUGGAGCGUCAAUCCAGAGCCUCUCAGCCAGGUCAGACAUCUCUGCUGUUCCCAUAGAGACACAACAGAUAGAUCAAUCUGUUGAUUCAUAUGGCCAUUUUGGUUGGGUUGGUUGAAUUGACAAUCAUCCAUUUGAGAUGCUAAAGAAUCCUAUACUAUGGAAGGUCUUUAGCCCCACCCCUAAUGUUAUGGGAGUUGCAUUUAUUGCAUUUUCAGUUACCCAUGUAUUGCUCAGUACUUGUUCAACCAUGUUGGAUUGCCUACGUAUUCUACAUUUCCUUGAGGGUUAAUGCCAGUGUAUUCUAUGGCUGCCAUGAGUA